Molecule: ribosomal RNA, 277 nt
Filed under: Bacillus cereus
Lineage: Bacteria; Bacillati; Bacillota; Bacilli; Caryophanales; Bacillaceae
Description: partial 16S ribosomal RNA
Rfam family: Bacterial small subunit ribosomal RNA
Source: RNAcentral
GCGCGCGCAGGUGGUUUCUUAAGUCUGAUGUGAAAGCCCACGCCUCAACCGUGGAGGGUCAUUGGAAACUGGGAGACUUGAGUGCCGAAGAGGAAAGUGGAAUUCCAUGUGUAGCGGUGAAAUGCGUAGAGAUAUGGAGGAACACCAGUGGCGAAGGCGACUUUCUGGUCUGUAACUGACACUGAGGCGCGAAAGCGUGGGGAGCAAACAGGAUUAGAUACCCUGGUAGUCCACGCCGUAAACGAUGAGUGCUAAGUGUUAGAGGGCUUCCGCCCUU